Molecule: ribosomal RNA, 504 nt
Filed under: uncultured bacterium
Lineage: Bacteria
Description: bacterial SSU rRNA
Rfam family: Bacterial small subunit ribosomal RNA
Source: RNAcentral
AGAGUUGAUCAUGGCUCAGGACGAACGCUGGCGGCGUGCCUAACACAUGCAAGUCGAACGGAACUCUUGGAACAAGGCUUCGGCCAAGGGAAUUGAGUUAGUGGCGGACGGGUGAGUAACGCGUGAGCAACCUGCCCUUCGAGGGGACAACAGUUGGAAACGACUGCUAAUACCGCAUGACAUACAGAGAUCGCAUGGUCAUUGUAUCAAAGAUUUAUCGCCGAAGGAUGGGCUCGCGUCUGAUUAGCUGGUUGGUGAGGUAACGGCUCACCAAGGCGACGAUCAGUAGCCGGACUGAGAGGUUGAACGGCCACAUUGGGACUGAGAUACGGCCCAGACUCCUACGGGAGGCAGCAGUGGGGAAUAUUGGGCAAUGGGGGGCAACCCUGACCCAGCAACGCCGCGUGAAGGAAGAAGGCUUUCGGGUUGUAAACUUCUUUUAUCAGGGACGAUAAUGACGGUACCUGAUGAAUAAGCCACGGCUAACUACGUGCCAGCCGCCGC